This is a long non-coding RNA of Equus caballus (horse), 1621 nucleotides long. The record is from Ensembl. Lineage: Eukaryota; Metazoa; Chordata; Mammalia; Perissodactyla; Equidae.
CUUAUUCUCAAAUUUGGUAGGGUUAGCUGGUCAUUUGGAACCAGCAGGGAAAGCAAGGUCAAUGACUCCAGGUAUUUGUUCUUGUCUCUGCCAUCAACCUGCUUGGUGUCCUUGGGUGAGACCCUUCAGACCAGGAUCUUCAUUUACAAAGUGAGAAUGGAUCGACAUAGCCCUGCUUGUAUAUUAUGUGACUCAGGAGCAGAGAAAGAAAAGUAACUAUUGUCAAUAGGAGUAACGCUGGAUUGGACAACUCCCGUCUUACUUCCUGAGGAGCAGCACUGUAGUAGCCAAGCAACCUGAAGGAUUUGAUAUAACAGCAGGAGUUUCCGGGCAAAGCCAAUGUCUGGGCCAGUGUUUGCAACCUGGAUAACAGCAUUGUUUUAGCAAUCAGAGAAUGGAAGCUGGGGAUAAAGUUUGAGUGAGGCUCGGGGAGACAAAACCAGCAUUCAUCUACAGCACAUGAAAAUGAAUUGGCCCAUCAGCUUUCAACUGAAUAUAGUAGCACUGUGUCUUGCUACAUACAGUCUAAUCUCUCCAUAACUGCCACUGACCUUCAUUUGGAAGCAUUUUUAACUGUAAAAUGUUUGAAGCAAAGGAUAUAAAGAAGGAAUAUCAUCGAGAGCACAAUUUGCAGUAGCUCAUUACGGAUAAGUCUGCUACGAUUCCCUGCCUCCUUCCAAUUUUUUAAAUGAUCUAAAACUGAGAAGCCAGAAGAUUCACAGUGUUUUGGCAAAAUCAAUUUUGAGAAAGUCACGUAGAGAUAUAUUCUGAUAAAAAUCAUAGAACAGUUUAAACAUAAAGAAUGAAACUGAUGGAUUAGUAAUGCUUUAUCUCACAACUAGUGGUGGGUAAAUUGGUGGUUGGUGGUUGUCAUAUCUAUUUUGGUGGAGUAGUUUUUAUCUAAUAUUCAAUAGUUAAAAAGAUGUGUAUAUAUACAUAUAUGAAUUUCCUUUGGGGAAUUUGGGGUUGGGGUAUAUAUAUCCACAAAAGAUAUACAAGGUGUACACACCCCAGCCUCACACUCCCCAAAGGAACUUCACCAUCAACUUUGAAAUCUCUGCAUGCUCCUUCCCAUUCGGAGCUUCCCAUUGCCCUGAGUUUUCUGGUUAGCAUUUCAUUGCUUUUAUUUGUAUCUUCUCGCAUAUGUUUACAUCCCUUAAUAAGAUAUUGCUUAGUUUUAUAUAUUUUUGAGCUUUGUGAGACUGGAAUCAUAGUUUCCUGUUCUUGUUCAGUUUGUUCUCUUCAUUUAACACCAUGCCCUUGAGAUUCAUUCUUGUUAUUGCGUGUACUGGCAAUUCAUUAAUUUUCACUAAUGAGAUAUAUACAUAUAUAUGUAUAUAUUUAUACCACAAUUGGUUUAUUUAUUCUGCUGGUGGUGGACAUGUGGGUUACAUCUACUUCUGUUUGUUUUUUCUUUUCUAUUAUCAGAGUGCUUCUGUGAACAUUCUUGUAUCUGUGUACAAAAAUUUCUUUAGGGUACUCCAAUAGGAGGGGAAUUUAUAGGUAAUGGAAUAUGCUCAUCUUCAAUUUUAUUAGAUAAAUGUCUGUAUUUUCUAUAGCAGUUGUAGUAAUCCAAGCCCUAUCUCCUUGUUAAAUAUAUACUGUUGACAUUUAAACUUGC